CUGACUCACAUGUUUGAUUUUUUUGUGUUAUGAGAUCUACACUUUAAUGUUACAUCAUGUUGAUCAAUAUGGGUUUAUGGGAAAAAUGGAAAUUGUUUGCUUCAGACACACAAAGAUCUAUGGUUGAUGCACCUUUUGAUUUGAUAUAGGAAGAACCAGGAUCUGAUUGGUUCUGAAGAUCCUUUAAUAUUAGCUGGUAAUGGUAACUCCUAGUUUCAAUACAGGUACUUCUUGCUCAGAUUGGCCGAGAGCGGGAUUUCACCUGGGGUCACAUUAGUUUUUAUCAUCCUUUAGAGAGGAGGACGUUUUCUGAAGCGUAAAUGGGUCCGGCCUGCCCUCUGAUACCCCACACUGGCACUCCUGGAUUUGUAAGCAGGGCGUGACGGGCAGGUGCUCCACAUCUGCGUUGAUUACAGUCCUUCAUAAGGAGCUGAAACCAGGAGGAGGUCGUCAGUUCGCUUCUGCGUGAACUCUGGAUCCCAAGUCUGAGAACCACCUUUCAAACCUCCAUAGUUCUGGACCCACAUCUGAGAAACUCCAAGCCUUCUUCCAGGAAUCCAAGAAAGCUUCGGACCACUCACUGCAUAGCCCUCCUGCCUGAUCUCACCAGCCUGUCCACCCUCCGCCUCUCUGCCUGUUCGGACGCUUUUUUCUCUGCUCUCUGCUCCCUGCUUGCUUGCAUUUUACUUUUUAUCU
Fundulus heteroclitus (mummichog) is the source of this 696-nucleotide long non-coding RNA. RefSeq lists it as uncharacterized. NCBI's taxonomy places the organism in Eukaryota, Metazoa, Chordata, Actinopteri, Cyprinodontiformes, Fundulidae. The record is from RefSeq and is a predicted model, not a curated record. The transcript is spliced from 3 exons.